GACGAACGCUGGCGGCGUGCUUAACACAUGCAAGUCGAACGGUAAGGCCCUUCGGGGUACACGAGUGGCGAACGGGUGAGUAACACGUGGGUGAUCUGCCCUGCACUUCGGGAUAAGCCUGGGAAACUGGGUCUAAUACCGGAUAGGACCACUGCCUGCAUGGGUGGUGGUGGAAAGCUUUUGCGGUGUGGGAUGGGCCCGCGGCCUAUGAGCUUGUUGGUGGGGUGAUGGCCUACCAAGGCGACGACGGGUAGCCGGCCUGAGAGGGUGACCGGGCACACUGGGACUGGGAUACGGCCCAGACACCGACGGGAGGCAGCAGUGGGGAAUAUUGCACAAUGGGCGCAAGCCUGAUGCAGCGACGCCGCGUGAGGGAUGACGGCCUUCGGGUUGUAAACCUCUUUCAGCACCGACGAAGCGCAAGUGACGGUAGGUGCAGAAGAAGGACCGGCCAACUACGUGCCAGCCGCCGCGGUAA
Molecule: ribosomal RNA, 478 nt
Filed under: uncultured bacterium
Lineage: Bacteria
Description: partial 16S ribosomal RNA
Rfam family: Bacterial small subunit ribosomal RNA
Source: RNAcentral